This 497-nucleotide ribosomal RNA is filed under the name uncultured bacterium. RNAcentral describes it as "partial 16S ribosomal RNA". It matches the Rfam family "Bacterial small subunit ribosomal RNA", at positions 28 to 507 of the family's 1533-position model. The record is from RNAcentral.
GAUGAACGCUGGCGGCGUGCCUAAUACAUGCAAGUCGAGCGAACGGACGAGAAGCUUGCUUCUCUGAUGUUAGCGGCGGACGGGUGAGUAACACGUGGAUAACCUACCUAUAAGACUGGGAUAACUUCGGGAAACCGUAGCUAAUACCGGAUAAUAUUUUGAACCGCAUGGUUCAAAAGUGAAAGACGGUCUUGCUGUCACUUAUAGAUGGAUCCGCGCUGCAUUAGCUAGUUGGUAAGGUAACGGCUUACCAAGGCAACGAUGCAUAGCCGACCUGAGAGGGUGAUCGGCCACACUGGAACUGAGACACGGUCCAGACUCCUACGGGAGGCAGCAGUAGGGAAUCUUACGCAAUGGGCGAAAGCCUGACGGAGCAACGCCGCGUGAGUGAUGAAGGUCUUCGGAUCGUAAAACUCUGUUAUUAGGGAAGAACAUAUGUGUAAGUAACUGUGCACAUCCUGACGGUACCUAAUCAGAAAGCCACGGCUAACUACGUG